AUUGAAGAGUUUGAUCAUGGCUCAGAUUGAACGCUGGCGGCAGGCCUAACACAUGCAAGUCGAGCGGUAACAGGAAGGAAGCUUGCUUUCUUUGCUGACGAGCGGCGGACGGGUGAGUAAUGCCUGGGAAAUUGCCCUGAUGUGGGGGAUAACCAUUGGAAACGAUGGCUAAUACCGCAUGAUGCCCUUGUUUAUAAUGAACAGGGACCAAAGAGGGGGACCGCAAGGCCUCUCGCGUCAGGAUAUGCCCAGGUGGGAUUAGCUAGUUGGUGAGGUAAUGGCUCACCAAGGCGACGAUCCCUAGCUGGUCUGAGAGGAUGAUCAGCCACACUGGAACUGAGACACGGUCCAGACUCCUACGGGAGGCAGCAGUGGGGAAUAUUGCACAAUGGGCGCAAGCCUGAUGCAGCCAUGCCGCGUGUAUGAAGAAGGCCUUCGGGUUGUAAAGUACUUUCAGUCGUGAGGAAGGGAGUAUCGUUAAUAGCGGUAUUCUUUGACGUUAGCGACAGAAGAAGCACCGGCUAACUCCGUGCCAGCAGCCGCGGUAAUACGGAGGGUGCGAGCGUUAAUCGGAAUUACUGGGCGUAAAGCGCAUGCAGGUGGUUUGUUAAGUCAGAUGUGAAAGCCCGGGGCUCAACCUCGGAGUUGCAUUUGAAACUGGC
This 662-nucleotide ribosomal RNA is filed under the name Vibrio metschnikovii CIP 69.14. RNAcentral's name for it is "bacterial SSU rRNA". It matches the Rfam family "Bacterial small subunit ribosomal RNA", at positions 1 to 637 of the family's 1533-position model. The record is from RNAcentral. Lineage: Bacteria; Pseudomonadati; Pseudomonadota; Gammaproteobacteria; Vibrionales; Vibrionaceae.